RNAcentral lists this ribosomal RNA (360 nucleotides) under Salmonella enterica subsp. enterica serovar Indiana. RNAcentral's name for it is "partial 23S ribosomal RNA". It matches the Rfam family "Bacterial large subunit ribosomal RNA", at positions 454 to 816 of the family's 2925-position model. Lineage: Bacteria; Pseudomonadati; Pseudomonadota; Gammaproteobacteria; Enterobacterales; Enterobacteriaceae. The record is from RNAcentral. RNAcentral also lists the same sequence under 1 other name.
CAUCCUCCAAGGCUAAAUACUCCUGACUGACCGAUAGUGAACCAGUACCGUGAGGGAAAGGCGAAAAGAACCCCGGCGAGGGGAGUGAAAAAGAACCUGAAACCGUGUACGUACAAGCAGUGGGAGCACCCUUCGGGGUGUGACUGCGUACCUUUUGUAUAAUGGGUCAGCGACUUAUAUUCUGUAGCAAGGUUAACCGAAUAGGGGAGCCGGAGGGAAACCGAGUCUUAAUUGGGCGUUAAGUUGCAGGGUAUAGACCCGAAACCCGGUGAUCUAGCCAUGGGCAGGUUGAAGGUUGGGUAACACUAACUGGAGGACCGAACCGACUAAUGUUGAAAAAUUAGCGGAUGACCUGUGGCU